UCUCCCUGUUUAUUGACCCCACAUUCCACAACUGUCUUGUUUCAUCACAACAGGUCUGUACUUUGUGUAACGAUUAGUUGCAUUUAAUUGUGGUAAGUAUAUCAAGAAUAUUUAGAUCAGAAGGGGACUGAAGGUGUGAUUGUGAUUAGAGGACAAUAGUUGUUGCAGAGUACUGCUCCAGUUUUUUUUUUUCCAGAGUUGGCUGGCCAUUCAGAGAAGGACUACAGUUGGCGCAGAAAGAGUGUUCCAGUUCUGCCCUCUACAGUUCGGUAGAGGCGCGGUUACAGGGCUGUUCAGGAGUUACUGGAGAAGGACUACAGUUGGUGCAGAAAGAGUGUUCCAGUUCUGCCCUCUACAGUUCGGUGGAGGCGUGGUUGCAGGCCAGUUCAGGAGUUAUUGGAGAAGGACUACAGUUGGUGCAGAAAGAGUGUUCCAGUUCUGCCCUCUACAGUUCGGUAAAGGCGUGGUUACAGUGAUAACAUCAUGCCACGCCGGGGGAAGAGAUCUGAGGCUGCAAAGCAACGCUGGGCUAAGUUGGACCUUUCAGACCCUCGG
Long non-coding RNA from Anguilla anguilla (European eel), 555 nucleotides. RefSeq lists it as uncharacterized. The record is from RefSeq and is a predicted model, not a curated record. Lineage: Eukaryota; Metazoa; Chordata; Actinopteri; Anguilliformes; Anguillidae. The transcript is spliced from 4 exons.